This 460-nucleotide ribosomal RNA is filed under the name uncultured bacterium. Its description in RNAcentral is "partial 16S ribosomal RNA". It matches the Rfam family "Bacterial small subunit ribosomal RNA", at positions 338 to 795 of the family's 1533-position model. The record is from RNAcentral.
CCUACGGGUGGCAGCAGUGAGGAAUAUUGGUCAAUGGACGAGAGUCUGAACCAGCCAAGUAGCGUGAAGGAUGACUGCCCUAUGGGUGGUAAACUUCUGUUAUAGGGGAAUAAAAUGUGGCACGUGUGGGAUUUUGUAUGUACCAUAUGAAUAAGGAUGGGCUAACUCCGUGCCAGCAGCCGCGGUAAUACGGAGGAUCCGAGCGUUAUCCGGCUGUAGUGGGUUUAAAGGGAGCGUAGGUGGUUUGUUAAGUCAGUUGUGAAAGUUUGCGGCUCAACCGUAAAAUUGCAGUUGAAACUGGCAGUCUUGAGUACAGUAGAGGUGGGCGGAAUUCUUGGUGUAGCGGUCAAAUGCUUAGAUAUCACGAAGAACUCCGAUUGCGAAGGCAGCUCACUGGACUGCAACUGACACUGAUGCUCGAAAGUGUGGGUAUCAAACAGGAUUAGAUACCCUAGUAGUC